Non-coding RNA from Nicotiana tabacum (common tobacco), 485 nucleotides. The record is from RefSeq and is a predicted model, not a curated record. NCBI's taxonomy places the organism in Eukaryota, Viridiplantae, Streptophyta, Magnoliopsida, Solanales, Solanaceae.
CUUACCCUACAAAAGGAAAUGUUAUUUAGUUCAAAUAUGAUUGACAAGUCCCAACUAACUAAUGUACUAAACUUAUGGUGUGAAUGUCAUUUUUUUAUAUACAGGUUAAAAUUUAUGACUCCAUAGUUGUAGAAACAUAAGGUGGCAGUCCUGCAAGAUUAAGAGGGUAACAUGGCAAUCUUGCUGGAUCAGGAGGUGGUGUCACUAGGGUACAAAUACAAUCGGCUAAUGUCUUUCAAUUCGCUAUCGGAACCUGGUAUUAGAAAAGCAUUGGAGCACUUAUGAGUUUUCAUUUCUCUUCACUGUCCGCUGAUGGUUGUCAUCCCUAACCAGACUCACAUUAGCUAGUUUUUUUAGAACUUUAUUAUUCGUGUUGUAAAAGAAUUAUGUAAUGUGGAUCUGUAUGAAAUUAUUCUUUUUCUUGUAAAAAAUAUCGUAUGUUUUGAGUAUAACAACAUUUUAGUAUUCUACUUUAUCUUGAAUGA